Molecule: ribosomal RNA, 697 nt
Filed under: uncultured bacterium
Lineage: Bacteria
Description: bacterial SSU rRNA
Rfam family: Bacterial small subunit ribosomal RNA
Source: RNAcentral
GCUGACGAGUGGCGGACGGGUGAGUAAUGCCUGGGAAACUGCCUGAUGGAGGGGGAUAACUACUGGAAACGGUAGCUAAUACCGCAUAACGUCGCAAGACCAAAGAGGGGGACCUUCGGGCCUCUUGCCAUCGGAUGUGCCCAGAUGGGAUUAGCUAGUAGGUGGGGUAACGGCUCACCUAGGCGACGAUCCCUAGCUGGUCUGAGAGGAUGACCAGCCACACUGGAACUGAGACACGGUCCAGACUCCUACGGGAGGCAGCAGUGGGGAAUAUUGCACAAUGGGCGCAAGCCUGAUGCAGCCAUGCCGCGUGUAUGAAGAAGGCCUUCGGGUUGUAAAGUACUUUCAGCGGGGAGGAAGGGAGUAAAGUUAAUACCUUUGCUCAUUGACGUUACCCGCAGAAGAAGCACCGGCUAACUCCGUGCCAGCAGCCGCGGUAAUACGGAGGGUGCAAGCGUUAAUCGGAAUUACUGGGCGUAAAGCGCACGCGGGCGGUUUGUUAAGUCAGAUGUGAAAUCCCCGGGCUCAACCUGGGAACUGCAUCUGAUACUGGCAAGCUUGAGUCUCGUAGAGGGGGGUAGAAUUCCAGGUGUAGCGGUGAAAUGCGUAGAGAUCUGGAGGAAUACCGGUGGCGAAGGCGGCCCCCUGGACGAAGACUGACGCUCAGGUGCGAAAGCGUGGGGAGCAAACAGGAUUA